AAUCUUCAGGGCAGGGUGAAAUUCCCUACCGGUGGUAUAGCCCACGAGCCUUUAUGGCAUGAUUCGGUGAGAUUCCGAAGCCGACAGUAAAGUCUGGAUGAAAGAAGAU
Molecule: non-coding RNA, 109 nt
Filed under: Clostridium cadaveris
Lineage: Bacteria; Bacillati; Bacillota; Clostridia; Eubacteriales; Clostridiaceae
Description: FMN riboswitch (RFN element)
Rfam family: FMN riboswitch aptamer (RFN element)
About the family: The RFN element is a highly conserved domain that is found frequently in the 5'-untranslated regions of prokaryotic mRNAs that encode for flavin mononucleotide (FMN) biosynthesis and transport proteins. This element is a metabolite-dependent riboswitch that directly binds FMN in the absence of proteins.
Source: RNAcentral